UACGGAAGGCAGCAGUGGGGAAUAUUGCACAAUGGGCGAAAGCCUGAUGCAGCUAUGCCGCGUGUAUGAAGAAGGCCUUAGGGUUGUAAAGUACUUUCAUCGGGGAGGAAAAACAAAACUAAUAAUUUUAUUUCUUGACGUUACCCGAAAAAGAAGCACCGGCUAACUCCGUGCCAGCAGCCGCGGUAAUACGGAGGGUGCUAGCGUUAAUCAGAAUUACUGGGCGUAAAGAGCACGUAGGUGGUUUUUUUAAGUCAGAUGUGAAAUCCCUGGGCUUAACCUAGGAACUGCAUUUUGAAACUGAAAUACUAGAGUAUCGUAGAGGAAGGUAGAAUUCUAGGUGUAGCGGUGAAAUGCGUAGAUAUCUGGAGGAAUACCUGUGGCGAAAGCGGCCUCCUAAACGAAUACUGACACUGAGGUGCGAAAGCGUGGGGAGCAAACAGGGAUUAGAUACC
This 455-nucleotide ribosomal RNA is filed under the name uncultured bacterium. Its description in RNAcentral is "bacterial SSU rRNA". It matches the Rfam family "Bacterial small subunit ribosomal RNA", at positions 340 to 786 of the family's 1533-position model. The record is from RNAcentral.